UACAAAGCAUGUGUUAUAUUAAACACAAAGAAAGAGGCCUCUCACUUUUUUUCAUUUAGGUUGAGAGAAUUGAAAGGAUACGAGAUAAUGAACUAAAGGCUCAGAAUGUGGAAGCAGGAGACUUGUUGCUGACGUGCGGGUGCAUCACUGGAAUUUUUGGAAACUCGAUAUGUUAAUUUUAUCUUACAAUGUAUCUCUUCAGUUCCUCCCCAUCUUGCCCUUAUUCCUGUCAUCGUCUUUUCCUUCCAUUAGUACAAUGGAAACUGGAACUCAUAUCCCCAACACCGUGUAGGCCACGGUUAGUAUAAUAGAGCAGAUCUCUUUCCUGAGUUUGAUAUGGAGAUACUAGAUUAUGUUUGUUUUGUUGAGGUGUAAUUUGCGUACGAUAAAAUUCACACUUUUUAAGUGCCCAGUCUGGUAGGACUUGUAUAUUUACAAUGUCCAACCACAGUGUUUUCAUCGUUCAUCACUCCCCUUUAAAAAAAACAAACAGACCUGCACACAUUAGCAGUUAUUCCAUAUUCCAUCCCCAGCCACAAGGAAACAUUAAGUUACCUUCUGUCUGCAUGAAUGUGGCUCUUUGGGGCAUUUCAUGUAAAUUAAGUCGUAUAACGUGGCCUUAUUUCUCCCUUCUUUCAGUUAGUUUACUCUCUACAAGGGUCAUCCAUAUUGUAACAUUUAUUAGUGCCUCAUAACUUUUUUUUUUUUUUUUUUUGCGGUACGCGGGCCUCUCACUGUUGUGGCCUCUCCCGUUGCGGAGCACAGGCUCCGGACGCGCAGGCUCAGCGGCCAUGGCUCACGGGCCCAGCCGCUCCGCGGCAUGUGGGAUCCUCCCGGACCGGGGCACGAACCCGCGUCCCCUGCAUCGGCAGGCGGACUCUCAACCACCGCGCCACCAGGGAAGCCCACCUCAUAACUUUUUAUUGCUGAGUAGUAAUAUCCACAGUUUGAUUACCCAGUCGUCACUCAUUGGAGGGGUUCUUUACACAUUUUGGCUGUUAAGAAAAAUGCUUCUAUGGACAUCUUUUACAAGAAGUCUUUGUGGAUAUGUGUUUUCCCUUCUCUCAGGUAUAUUUGUAUAAGAGGAAGCUCUGAUUGUGAUAUUGUGAUUUAUGACAUAUAGAUUUGGUCAUUCAGAUGAGUAAUGUAUUACUUCCACUCACACCCUAUUUGGCGAAACUGUUCUCACGGUCUUGCCUAGCUGCCAGUGGCUGAGAAAUUAGGGGAACGCAUAGCUCUUGAUGUGGAGCAAUUAAAAGAGUGAAGAAAGUCAUUAUGUUGGUGUAAUUACCAUGCAGCUAUAUGUGGAAAUUAAAAUGAAUAAAAGUG
This 1329-nucleotide long non-coding RNA is filed under the name Phocoena sinus (vaquita). RNAcentral describes it as "lncRNA (ENSPSNG00000017200.1)". Lineage: Eukaryota; Metazoa; Chordata; Mammalia; Artiodactyla; Phocoenidae. The record is from RNAcentral.